This 443-nucleotide ribosomal RNA is filed under the name uncultured bacterium. RNAcentral's name for it is "partial 16S ribosomal RNA". It matches the Rfam family "Bacterial small subunit ribosomal RNA", at positions 338 to 795 of the family's 1533-position model. The record is from RNAcentral.
CCUACGGGAGGCAGCAGUGGGGAAUAUUGGGCAAUGGGCGCAAGCCUGACCCAGCAACGCCGCGUGAAGGAAGAAGGCGUUCGGGUUGUAAACUUCUUUUCUCAGGGACGAAGCAAGUGACGGUACCUGCGGAAUAAGCCACGGCUAACUACGUGCCAGCAGCCGCGGUAAUACGUAGGUGGCAAGCGUGAUCCGGAUUUACUGGGUGUAAAGGUCGGUUAGGAGGGGACGCAAGUCAGAUGUGAAAACCACGGGCUCAACCUGUGGCCUGCAUUUGAAACUGUGUUGCUUGAGUACUGGAGAGGCAGACGGAAUUCCUAGUGUAGCGGUGAAAUGCGUAGAUAUUAGGAGGAACACCAGUGGCGAAGGCGGUCUGCUGGACAGCAACUGACGCUGAGGCGCGAAAGCGUGGGGAGCAAACAGGAUUAGAUACCCCUGUAGUC